GGCUGGAUAGCUUAGCUUGUCAGAGCGUGGUGCUAAUAACUCCAAGGUAAUGGGUUCAAUCCCCACACUAGCCA
This 74-nucleotide transfer RNA is filed under the name Poecilia formosa (Amazon molly). It matches the Rfam family "tRNA". Rfam says of the family: Transfer RNA (tRNA) molecules are approximately 80 nucleotides in length. Their secondary structure includes four short double-helical elements and three loops (D, anti-codon, and T loops). Lineage: Eukaryota; Metazoa; Chordata; Actinopteri; Cyprinodontiformes; Poeciliidae. The record is from Rfam by way of RNAcentral.